This 253-nucleotide ribosomal RNA is filed under the name uncultured bacterium. RNAcentral's name for it is "partial 16S ribosomal RNA". It matches the Rfam family "Bacterial small subunit ribosomal RNA", at positions 524 to 776 of the family's 1533-position model. The record is from RNAcentral.
UACGGGGGGGGCAAGCGUUGUUCGGAAUUACUGGGCGUAAAGGGCUCGUAGGUGGCCAACUAAGUCGGACGUGAAAUCCCUCAGCUUAACUGGGGAACUGCGUCCGAUACUGAAUGGCUUGAGUUUGGGAGAGGGAUGCGGAAUUCCAGGUGUAGCGGUGAAAUGCGUAGAUAUCUGGAGGAACACCGGUGGCGAAGGCAGCACUCUGGGACGUGACUGACGCUGAGACGCGAAAGCGUGGGGAGCAAACAGG